RNAcentral lists this ribosomal RNA (229 nucleotides) under uncultured bacterium. RNAcentral describes it as "partial 16S ribosomal RNA". It matches the Rfam family "Bacterial small subunit ribosomal RNA", at positions 15 to 226 of the family's 1533-position model. The record is from RNAcentral.
GAUCCUGGCUCAGGAUGAACGCUGGCGGCGUGCCUAACACAUGCAAGUCGAGCGAGAAAUCUUGGAAUGAGACUUCGGUUAAGUGAAGAGAUGGAAAGCGGCGGACGGGUGAGUAACGCGUAGGCAACCUGCCUUAUGCAGAGGGAUAGCCAUUGGAAACGAUGAUUAAAAACCUCAUAAUGCCAUUUUAUCACAUGGUGAGAUGGUCAAAGAUUUAUCGGCAUAAGAG